RNAcentral lists this ribosomal RNA (667 nucleotides) under Ijuhya faveliana. RNAcentral describes it as "eukaryotic LSU rRNA". It matches the Rfam family "Eukaryotic large subunit ribosomal RNA", at positions 107 to 808 of the family's 3401-position model. The record is from RNAcentral. Lineage: Eukaryota; Fungi; Ascomycota; Sordariomycetes; Hypocreales; Bionectriaceae.
GCUCAAAUUUGAAAWCUGGCCCUAGGCCCGAGUUGUAAUUUGCAGAGGAUGUUUCUGACGCGGUGUCUUCCGAGUCCCUUGGAACAGGGCGCCAUAGAGGGUGAGAGCCCCGUACGGUUGCGCGCUAAGUCUAUGUGAAACUCCUUCGACGAGUCGAGUAGUUUGGGAAUGCUGCUCUAAAUGGGAGGUAUACGUCUUCUAAAGCUAAAUACCGGCCAGAGACCGAUAGCGCACAAGUAGAGUGAUCGAAAGAUGAAAAGCACUUUGAAAAGAGGGUUAAAAAGUACGUGAAAUUGUUGAAAGGGAAGCACUUAUGACCAGACUUGGGCUCGGUGAAUCACCCAGCGUUCUCGCUGGUGCACUUUGCCGGCUCAGGCCAGCAUCAGUUUGCUCCGGGGGAUAAAGGCUUCGGGAAUGUGGCUCCCUCGGGAGUGUUAUAGCCCGUUGCAUAAUACCCUGGAGUGGACUGAGGUACGCGCUCCGCAAGGAUGCUGGCGUAAUGGUCCUCAGUGACCCGUCUUGAAACACGGACCAAGGAGUCGUCUUCGUAUGCGAGUGUUCGGGUGUCAAACCCCUACGCGUAAUGAAAGUGAACGUAGGUGAGAGCUUCGGCGCAUCACCGACCGAUCCUGAUGUUCUCGGAUGGAUUUGAGUAAGAGCAUACGGG